UACGUAGGGGGCAAGCGUUGUCCGGAAUCAUUGGGCGUAAAGAGCGUGUAGGCGGCUUGGUAAGUCCGCUGUGAAAGUCCAGGGCUCAACCUUUGAAUGUCAGUGGAUACUGCCGGGCUAGAGUCCGGAAGAGGCGAGUGGAACUCCGUGGUGUAGCGGUGGAAUGCGCAGAUAUCAGGAGGAACACCUGUGGCGAAAGCGGCUCACUGGACCACAACUGACGCUGAGGCGCGAAAGCUAGGGGGAGCAAACAGG
RNAcentral lists this ribosomal RNA (255 nucleotides) under uncultured bacterium. RNAcentral's name for it is "partial 16S ribosomal RNA". It matches the Rfam family "Bacterial small subunit ribosomal RNA", at positions 524 to 776 of the family's 1533-position model. The record is from RNAcentral.